RNAcentral lists this ribosomal RNA (799 nucleotides) under uncultured bacterium. Its description in RNAcentral is "bacterial SSU rRNA". It matches the Rfam family "Bacterial small subunit ribosomal RNA", at positions 66 to 859 of the family's 1533-position model. The record is from RNAcentral.
GCGGCAGCGCGGGGGCAACCCUGGCGGCGAGCGGCGAACGGGUGAGUAACACAUCGGAACGUACCCUGUCGUGGGGGAUAGCCCGGCGAAAGCCGGAUUAAUACCGCAUACGACCUGAGGGUGAAAGCGGGGGAUCGCAAGACCUCGCGCGAUAGGAGCGGCCGAUGGCGGAUUAGCUAGUUGGUGAGGUAAAAACUCACCAAGGCGACGAUCCGUAGCUGGUCUGAGAGGACGACCAGCCACACUGGAACUGAGACACGGUCCAGACUCCUACGGGAGGCAGCAGUGGGGAAUUUUGGACAAUGGGGGCAACCCUGAUCCAGCCAUUCCGCGUGAGUGAAGAAGGCCUUCGGGUUGUAAAGCUCUUUCGGCAGGAACGAAACGGUGGAGGCUAAUACCUUUCAUCAAUGACGGUACCUGAAGAAGAAGCACCGGCUAACUACGUGCCAGCAGCCGCGGUAAUACGUAGGGUGCGAGCGUUAAUCGGAAUUACUGGGCGUAAAGCGUGCGCAGGCGGUUCUAUAAGACAGAUGUGAAAUCCCCGGGCUUAACCUGGGAACUGCGUUUGUGACUGUAGGACUGGAGUGUGGCAGAGGGGGGUGGAAUUCCACGUGUAGCAGUGAAAUGCAUAGAGAUGUGGAGGAACACCGAUGGCGAAGGCAGCCCCCUGGGUUAACACUGACGCUCAUGCACGAAAGCGUGGGGAGCAAACAGGAUUAGAUACCCUGGUAGUCCACGCCCUAAACGAUGCGAACUAUGUGUUGGAGAAGGAGACUUCUUUAGUACCGUAGCUAACGCG